Molecule: ribosomal RNA, 221 nt
Filed under: uncultured bacterium
Lineage: Bacteria
Description: partial 16S ribosomal RNA
Rfam family: Bacterial small subunit ribosomal RNA
Source: RNAcentral
UGGCGCACGGGUGCGUAACGCGUGGGAAUCUGCCCCAAGGUUCGGAAUAACAGUUAGAAAUGACUGCUAAUACCGGAUAAUGUCUUCGGACCAAAGGUUUACUGCCUUGGGAUGAGCCCGCGUCGGAUUAGCUAGUUGGUGAGGUAAAAGCUCACCAAGGCGACGAUCCGUAGCUGGUCUGAGAGGAUGAUCAGCCACACUGGGACUGAGACACGGCCCAG